This is a long non-coding RNA of Xenopus tropicalis (tropical clawed frog), 2114 nucleotides long. RefSeq lists it as uncharacterized. The record is from RefSeq and is a predicted model, not a curated record. The transcript has 4 exons. Lineage: Eukaryota; Metazoa; Chordata; Amphibia; Anura; Pipidae.
GUUUGGAAGAAAUUGGCUGCAUUGGAGCCUUUUUUUCCUUUGGAGAACAGUUUUAGCAUAGUGGAAAGGAACUUCUCUAACAAGGUGUCACUGAACCAAGAUGGAUGAAAGAAAGGCUCGUCUUUGACCUCUUCAUAGCACUGACAGUAAACAAUGAUACGUAGACCUCUAUGAAGAUGAUACUGACGUAGGAGCACCUUAGUUAUGCUCAGUUUGUUUGGCCCCCACAAUAUUCCAUGUUGCGCUGUACUAUAUUCAUCAUUCAUUCGGAGUUUCUAAGAGUCUAUCUAUGCAGUCAGUUGGCAAGCUCAUCCUUUAAGAAAAUGACAGUGUCUUCUUAUCGAUUUUACACUCAGAGAUCAAUCAGAUUUACCCUGACUCAGACAAAAUUUACAGCGUUCCCUGACACAGCCCGCAGCAUUUGGACCAAGGCAGACGUUACAAGGAAGCAAUAUAUCAUGUUUGUAUGUAGAGCCUGACACGCUUAAAAAUAAGCUAAUCUGUAGUGGAAUUUCCUUCUUCUUGACAAGCUGAUCUGCCCAGCAAUUCGCUCUUCUUGUUAUAAAUUUAUUUCCCAGCUCCGCUAUUAAUUAUAACAUUCACACAGGAUACAUGUAUUUAAGCCCGCAGGGAGGUCAUCUGCUGGGUAGUUUCGGAUAAAAUAUACACUAACAGAUCACUCCUACUUAAACAAUGUAAAGUGUCAGUUUGGGAGCUCCCCAUAACAGAGCUAGUGGCGUUCUAUCAACAGCUGUGAUCAGUUCUGACACUGCAAUGCUAUUAUAGCUGGAUGAUGGACCAUAUAUAUUUAUAAACAGCCUUAGUGUAAAUUGCAGUGUCCGAAUCUUUUGUGCCUGUAACCAACCAUAUUAAAUAUAGUAAUUACAGAAAAGACACUGACUGUGAUACUGAAACAGUUGUUGGCUAAGCAGCCUUAAAAGCACAGCAGUGCUUCCUUUGUAAAUAGUGAUGUUAUUAUUGUCAGGAAAGAAUAUAUAAUCCUAAUAAUUUCACGGAAAUAAGCAAAUUAUGUAGAAUUAUUCUAUGGCAUCUCCUUAUUCUCCUUAACUUACAGUACCUAAAAUGAAGGAUAAUGAAGACGUUGUACAAAAUGAUAAUUACUGCUACAGACUCUUUGCAUUGCCAGUAAAGUCCUGUUUGAUUCACUCCACUGUUCGCCAAAGUGUAAUGUGAUCAACAGAUUAAAAAAAACCAUUUGAAUCUAAGUGACCAUUCAAACUUAUGUGCCUUACUUUAAUAGACCAAUCUUUUUUGCUUGCAAUUCCAUUCAUGAUUAUUGUGCUAUUUCAUCUCAGAUAUUUCACUAUACGUUCAAUGUUUGCAUCCAUGCAACUGUUGCUGCUGAUACUAUUGUUCAACUGUGUAUUUUUGGCCUGUGGUCUGUGCAAUGCACAAAGGAGGACAAUAAAAUACGAAUGGGUCAUAGGAUCCCUUACUAGCCUGGGUUGCCAUGCCUUGACUGCCUUUAUUCAACAAAUUAUGGGAAAUUAAAAAACUGAAAUCACUACAGAUCUUUACAUCUUACUCCUUAUCCAUGAGGAAGCAGAGGCUAGUAUCUUUACAGCCAAGGAUAUAAUUCACAUCCCCUAAUAGCCAGGUGUAUAUGGGUUAAAGACAGUGCAUACCAGUUAUAUUUUUCAGUACAAGCCCAAUAUUAUUAACAGUAUAAUACCCCUCCCCUUAGCUACCAGGAAGAGGCCCAUUAGUGUGACUGUCAGCCCAUGAAAGAUAGAUAAUAACUGUACAAUAAAUGUAGUCACCUCAGACAAGUACUGACAAGUACUGUCUAUCUAAAUAUUUGUUAUACCCAUUGCCCCAUGACUCCAGGGGAAUGGCCUGGUGCUUUCUUGCCUCCUGAAAAAAAACCUAUUAUUCAAUUCUGCUAAUGAUGUGGGCUGCUGCCCAGAAGAAUCAUUUUUUUCUUGGUUUAAUAGUAAAGUACUUGCACCACCUUUGCCUUGCAUAUCAUGUUCCAAACAUUCAGAUUCAUGUUCAAAAAUCAAGAUUUUCUUACAAUAAAAUGUUACUUUUUGCAAUGCAGAUAAUGAUGGGCUAUAUUUAUUAUCAAGUCUCCCAAAUGCUUUGCAUCAGAA